AAAUUGAAGAGUUUGAUCAUGGCUCAGAUUGAACGCUGGCGGCAGGCCUAACACAUGCAAGUCGAACGGUAACAGGAAACAGCUUGCUGUUUCGCUGACGAGUGCGGACGGGGGAGUAAUGGCUGGGAAACUGCCUGAUGGAGGGGGAUAACUACUGGAAACGGUAGCUAAAACCGCAUAACGUCGCAAGACCAAAGAGGGGGACCUUCGGGCCUC
RNAcentral lists this ribosomal RNA (216 nucleotides) under Escherichia coli. RNAcentral's name for it is "partial 16S ribosomal RNA". It matches the Rfam family "Bacterial small subunit ribosomal RNA", at positions 1 to 216 of the family's 1533-position model. Lineage: Bacteria; Pseudomonadati; Pseudomonadota; Gammaproteobacteria; Enterobacterales; Enterobacteriaceae. The record is from RNAcentral.